Molecule: ribosomal RNA, 253 nt
Filed under: uncultured bacterium
Lineage: Bacteria
Description: partial 16S ribosomal RNA
Rfam family: Bacterial small subunit ribosomal RNA
Source: RNAcentral
UACGUAGGGUGCGAGCGUUAAUCGGAAUUACUGGGCGUAAAGGGCGCGUAGGCGGCCUGUUAAGUCGAACGUGAAAUCCCCGGGCUCAACCCGGGAACUGCGUCCGAUACUGGCAGGCUUGAAUCCGGGAGAGGGAUGUGGAAUUCCAGGUGUAGCGGUGAAAUGCGUAGAUAUCUGGAGGAACACCGGUGGCGAAGGCGGCAUCCUGGACCGGUAUUGACGCUGAGGCGCGAAAGCCAGGGGAGCAAACGGG